CGCUGUAAACGAUGUCGAUUUGGAGUUUGGGGGCAUGACCCUUGGGCUCCGGAGCUAACGCGUUAAAUCGACCGCUGGGGAGUACGGCCGCAAGGUUAAAACUCAAAUGAAUUGACGGGGGCCCGCACAAGCGGUGGAGCAUGUGGUUUAAUUCGAUGCAACGCGAAGAACCUUACCUGGUCUUGACAUCCAUAGAAUCUUUCAGAGAUGAGGGAGUGCCUUCGGGAGCUAUGAGACAGGUGCUGCAUGGCUGUCGUCAGCUCGUGUUGUGAAAUGUUGGGUUAAGUCCCGCAACGAGCGCAACCCCUAUCCUUUGUUGCCAGCACGUAAUGGUGGGAACUCAAAGGAGACUGCCGUUGAUAAAGCGGAGGAAGGUGGGGACGACGUCAAGUCAUCAUGGCCCUUACGACCAGGGCUACACACGUGCUACAAUGGCGUAUACAAAGGGAUGCGAAGGUGCGAACUGGAGCGGACCUCACAAAGUACGUCUAAGUCCGGAUUGGAGUCUGCAACUCGACUCCAUGAAGUCGGAAUCGCUAGUAAUCGUGAAUCAGAAUGUCACGGUGAAUACGUUCCCGGGCCUUGUACACACCGCCCGUCACACCAUGGGAGUGGGUUGCACCAGAAGUAGAUAGCUUAACCUUCGGGAGGGCGUUUACCACGGUGUGGUUCAUGACUGGGGUGAAGUCGUAACAAGGUAACCA
Molecule: ribosomal RNA, 704 nt
Filed under: uncultured Enterobacteriaceae bacterium
Lineage: Bacteria; Pseudomonadati; Pseudomonadota; Gammaproteobacteria; Enterobacterales; Enterobacteriaceae
Description: bacterial SSU rRNA
Rfam family: Bacterial small subunit ribosomal RNA
Source: RNAcentral